AGGGGCUCCUGGUCUCUGUGGAAACCAUGGCCAGUAGCAGCCUCUGUGCCUGCCUGUCUUCUGGGCUCAAGAGUUGUCCUAUAAACCUCAGCUCAGUGUGGGCUGACAAUGAAGACAAGAAACCCACUGCAGUCCCCAAGAAACCCAGUGCUGGGGAUGACUUUGACUUAGGAGAUGCUGUUGUUGAUGGAGGAAAUGACGACCCACCACCACCGAACCCACCCAAACCGAAGCCAAAUCCAAACCCCAACCACCCUAGUUCCUCUGGUAGCUUUUCAGAUGCUGACCUUGCGGAUGGCAUUUCAGGUGGAGAAGGAAAAGGAGGCAGUGAUGGUGGAGGAAACCACAGGAAAGAAGGGGAAGAGGCUGAUGCCCCAGGCGUGAUCCCCGGGAUUGUGGGGGCUGUCGUGGUCGCUGUGGCUGGAGCCAUCUCUAGCUUCAUUGCUUACCAGAAAAAGAAGCUGUGCUUC
This 470-nucleotide small RNA is filed under the name Pongo abelii (Sumatran orangutan). RNAcentral's name for it is "processed transcript". The record is from RNAcentral. Lineage: Eukaryota; Metazoa; Chordata; Mammalia; Primates; Hominidae.